AAAAAGAUAAGCUAAAUUAAGCUUUUGGGCUCAUACCCCAACGAUAGUAAACAAUACUUCUUUUUA
Molecule: transfer RNA, 66 nt
Filed under: Leucolepas longa
Lineage: Eukaryota; Metazoa; Arthropoda; Thecostraca; Neolepadidae
Description: tRNA-Met
Source: RNAcentral